Molecule: ribosomal RNA, 492 nt
Filed under: uncultured bacterium
Lineage: Bacteria
Description: partial 16S ribosomal RNA
Rfam family: Bacterial small subunit ribosomal RNA
Source: RNAcentral
AGUGAACGCUGGCGGUAUGCCUAACACAUGCAAGUCGAACGGCAGCACAGUAAGAGCUUGCUCUUACGGGUGGCGAGUGGCGGACGGGUGAGGAAUACAUCGGAAUCUACUUUUUCGUGGGGGAUAACGUAGGGAAACUUACGCUAAUACCGCAUACGACCUACGGGUGAAAGCAGGGGAUCUUCGGACCUUGCGCGAUUGAAUGAGCCGAUGUCGGAGUAGCUAGUUGGAGGGGUAAAGGCCCACCAAGUCGACGAUACGUAGCUGGUCUGAGAGGAUGAUACGCCACACUGGAACUGAGACACGGUCCAGACUCCUACGGGAGGCAGCAGUGGGGAAUAUUGGACAAUGGGCGCAAGCCUGAUCCAGCCAUACCGCGUGGGUGAAGAAGGCCUUCGGGUUGUAAAGCCCUUUUGUUGGGAAAGAAAAGCAGCAGGUUAAUACCCCGCUGUUCUGACGGUACCCAAAGAAUAAGCACCGGCUAACUUCGUG